Molecule: ribosomal RNA, 270 nt
Filed under: uncultured prokaryote
Description: partial 16S ribosomal RNA
Rfam family: Archaeal small subunit ribosomal RNA
Source: RNAcentral
UACUAGCGGUCCAAGUCGCAGCCAUUUUUAUUGGGUCUAAAACAUCCGUAGCUUGUUUGGUAAGUUCCUUGUGAAAUUUCGUAUCUCAAGUAUGAAGCGUGCAAGAAAUACUGCCAAACUAGAGACUGGAAGACGUAAGGAGUACGUUCGAAGUAGUGGUAAAAUAUUUUAAUCUCGAGCGGACUUACAACAGCGAAGGCACCUUACGAGGACAGUUCUGACAGUAAGGGAUGAAGGCUAGGGGCGCAAAACGGAUUAGAUACCCCCGUA